AAGGAUGUUAUUUUAUCGGUGAAGGACUAACAUAAGCUGAAUUCAUCCCAUCGUAACAAUCUCGGUUUUCUUCCCUAUCGGAACACGAGACGAUCUUCGUGGGAGGUUGCACAGCACGCAAAAACAUAGAUCCAUACGCAAGAAUAACACCUUCCGCGUCUGGCUAAUCACAACACUUGGAACACCCUAUACCUAGACGAGAUACGACACUGGAUAAACAUUCGAUCAUCUCGAACGAAACGAGCAA
RNAcentral lists this long non-coding RNA (247 nucleotides) under Polistes fuscatus (common paper wasp). RNAcentral describes it as "uncharacterized LOC122524669". The record is from RNAcentral. Lineage: Eukaryota; Metazoa; Arthropoda; Insecta; Hymenoptera; Vespidae.